This 254-nucleotide ribosomal RNA is filed under the name uncultured bacterium. Its description in RNAcentral is "partial 16S ribosomal RNA". It matches the Rfam family "Bacterial small subunit ribosomal RNA", at positions 524 to 776 of the family's 1533-position model. The record is from RNAcentral.
GACGGAGGGGGCAAGCGUUGUUCGGAAUUAUUGGGCGUAAAGGGCUCGUAGGCGGAUCCGCCAGUCUGACGUGAAAUCUCCACCGCUCACCGGGGAGGGGCCGUUGGAUACUACGGAUCUGGAGUUCGGCAGAGGACCAUGGAAUUUCGGGUGUAGCGGUGGAAUGCGCAGAUAUCAGGAGGAACACCGGUGGCGAAGGCGGUUCUCUGGGCAUUACCUAACGCUGAGGAGCGAAAGCAUGGGGAGCGAACAGG